This 71-nucleotide transfer RNA is filed under the name Marmota marmota marmota (Alpine marmot). It matches the Rfam family "tRNA". From Rfam's summary of the family: Transfer RNA (tRNA) molecules are approximately 80 nucleotides in length. The record is from Rfam by way of RNAcentral. RNAcentral also lists the same sequence under 2 other names. Lineage: Eukaryota; Metazoa; Chordata; Mammalia; Rodentia; Sciuridae.
GUGGUUGUGGCUCAGGGGUAGGGCGCUUGCCUAGCAUGCGUGAGGCACUGGGUUCGAUCCUCAGCACCACA